AUUGAACGCUGGCGGCAUGCUUUACACAUGCAAGUCGAACGGCAGCGCGGGCUUCGGCCUGGCGGCGAGUGGCGAACGGGUGAGUAAUACAUCGGAACGUGCCCAGUAGUGGGGGAUAGCUCGGCGAAAGCCGGAUUAAUACCGCAUACGACCUGAGGGUGAAAGCGGGGGAUCUUCGGACCUCGCGCUAUUGGAGCGGCCGAUGGCAGAUUAGCUAGUUGGUGGGGUAAAGGCCUACCAAGGCGACGAUCUGUAGCUGGUCUGAGAGGACGACCAGCCACACUGGGACUGAGACACGGCCCAGACUCCUACGGGAGGCAGCAGUGGGGAAUUUUGGACAAUGGGCGAAGCCUGAUCCAGCAAUGCCGCGUGUGUGAUGAAGGCCUUCGGGUUGUAAAGCACUUUUGGCGGGAACGAAAAGGACUGUGCCAAUACCACGGUUCGAUGACGGUACCCGCAGAAUAAGCACCGGCUAACUACGUG
RNAcentral lists this ribosomal RNA (483 nucleotides) under uncultured bacterium. Its description in RNAcentral is "partial 16S ribosomal RNA". It matches the Rfam family "Bacterial small subunit ribosomal RNA", at positions 29 to 507 of the family's 1533-position model. The record is from RNAcentral.